GCCGGGCGCGGUGGCGCGUGCCUAUAGUCCCAGCCACUCGGGAGGCUGAGGCUGGAGAAUCCCUUGAGUUCAGGAGUUCUGGGCUGUAGUGCGCUAUACCGAUCGGGUGUCCGCACUAAGUUCGGCAUCAAUAUGGUGACCUCCCGGGAGCGGGGGACCACCAGGUUGCCUAAGGAGGGGUGAACCGGCCCAGGUCGGAAACGGAGCAGGUCAAAACUCCCGUGCUGAUCAGUAGUGGGAUUGCGCCUGUGAAUAGCCACUGCACUCCAGCCUGGGCAACAUAGUGAGACCCUGCCUCU
This 299-nucleotide signal recognition particle RNA is filed under the name Aotus nancymaae (Ma's night monkey). RNAcentral describes it as "Metazoan signal recognition particle RNA (ENSANAG00000008606.1)". It matches the Rfam family "Metazoan signal recognition particle RNA". From Rfam's summary of the family: The signal recognition particle (SRP) is a universally conserved ribonucleoprotein. It is involved in the co-translational targeting of proteins to membranes. The eukaryotic SRP consists of a 300-nucleotide 7S RNA and six proteins: SRPs 72, 68, 54, 19, 14, and 9. Lineage: Eukaryota; Metazoa; Chordata; Mammalia; Primates; Aotidae. The record is from RNAcentral.